UUUUUUUUUUUUUUUUUUUUUUUUUACCACCUACAUGGUUAUAUAGAGAGGGUAAUGAAUUCAUCAAUUAGGGUGACACUUCAGUCUCAUGGGGAAGUGGCCAUAUUGAUUGGUGGUGUUUUGGGUUCUGGGUUUUUUGUUGGUGGUCAGAGUAUGAAAGUCUGGACAGUCACUCAGUCACAAAUACUCAUUACCAUGGGCAGAACACUGUUUUAGGUGUUUGGGAUGCAUCCGUGAACAAAACAUAGCCUCUUGAAGCUUAUGUUCUAAUAGGAUGGCAGUCAGUAAACAAUAAGUAAAGUCAUAGCAACAAAGUGGUCAGUGCCAAGAAAAGAAUUGCAGAGCGGGGUCAGGCAUUCCUAGGGACCUGAGGUUUGGUUGGUGCCAUGUUAAUUUGGGGAAUGGGGCAGUUGCUUGGUCUCUCCGAGAGCAAGGAGAAGCCAGGAAAACUGUUCAGAGGCUGUCAGUAGUGAUCAGGCAAGAGGUGAUGCUGGCCCAGUGAGACCAUGGUCGGUUCUGGGUAUGUCUUGAAAUAAGAGUCAACUGCAUUUGCUCUUGGGUUGACUGUGAAUGAGUGAGCAAAAACCCAAGGCUGCACACAUUUUGGCUUGUACAGCAGAAAGGCUUGCUGUCCAUUGGAAUGGGGCAGCUUGCUGUGGGUGGGAGGGCAAGCAGGAGAGCAAUCUUAGAUGCUGUGAGUUUGAGGUGCAUUCAGAUACCAUGUGGAGAUCCAGGAGGGACCCCGGGAGCCCUCGGCCAAUGGGUGGAUCCUCUGCAGAUACGGGACAGAAGCUCCCAGACAAGGGGCACAGCCCGGGAGCAGUAAGUUGGGAGGGGUUUUCAAACCUCCCUUAUUAAAGAAAACAGGUCCCGUCUCCCUCCUUUUUUCACCUGAGGCAUUUUAGUUCCUUCCCUAGACCUAGUUUCCUUGUACACAGCUUCUCUCACAGCCCAUUGUGCACAGGUUCUUCUGAGUGGCUGCCCUGUGGAAGUUUAUAGAGGGGAAGUGGAGCUCUACCAUGUAGAGGUGUGGCUGUGGCAGGGCUCCUGACCUUCACACCUGGGACACGUUCUGUUUGCCAUGUUUGUUCUCAAGGACACACUGAUUACCGGAAGUUAGGCUUUUUUGAGACAAGUUCAUUACCCACACGCUCUGAUGAGAGGACCACUGUAUGCAGACUCAGACGCUCAGCUGUUGUCAGUUAUUUGUUUGCCAGAAGUGUGUCUGUGCUUUAAUGCACUCUACUGAUCUAUUGAGAACUGGGUAUUUAUCCACAGAGUUCGUCUGGAUCGGUAUCAUUUAAAAGCCUCUAUCACUGAUUGACAUCAAUUUGAUUUCAGUGACAAUAGCGAUAGUGUUAUCUUUACUCCAAUUAAAGCAUGAAGUUAAAUCGAUUAAUAAGGGGCCCAUGCCCUUCCUUUAGGAUAAGUAUGUUUUUAUAAUAUGAUGUUUUUAUUCCGCAUACAGUGAAUUUUGAAAAGGAAUAUUCUAGAGUACUUGAAAAUCACUUCAGAUGCAGUGACAAGGCCACAUUUUGCCCUCAUCCACUCCUCUGGAGUCCCUCAGAGGUGAGGUAAGGUAUGUGGUGGGGGCGGUGCUACGGUUUUUAUUUACCUGACAACCAGAGUGUUGUCCUACUCCUGAAAGUAGAGUUAGUAUUCCAGUCAUGCCAACUCGCAUCCUGAUCAGGCAAAACGGGAACUAAGACAACAUUCCAUAGCGACGUGCCUGGUUCAUGAGCUGUCCUUUAUUUUCCAAAAGUGAAGACCCAGGCGGAAAGCUGGGAGGGAACACGACUAACUUUGAGAAGCACAACUGUGAUCAUUUUCAUAGUAUAUGUCUCUCCAAAAGCCUAGAGAAAGAUGAUAUUUAAAAGAAAGAUCUCGCUGUGUGUGCAUUAUGAACAUGUUAUUGUCAUUCUGGAAAUCAUCCCUGAAUACCCUUCCCUGGCAGUUCCUGCUCUGUGAGUCGCGCAUGGUGAUCUCCAUGUCCACAGAGUGGGUGAUGCAGGGGGACAGGAAGGUGUUUCCACCUGCUCAAAACUUCGCUUUUUGUGGGGAUUUUUUUGAUUAUUUGGGGGUUUCGGUUUACUUUUGCUGAUUUGCCAUGAAACACUUUAAAGAGCUCAGCAGCCCACUUUACAUUGGGGGUAAUGGUUGCUCUCGAAAGGAGUGAAUGAAGGAUGUGCCUUGCAGAUGUCUUGACACUGCACAGGUAAGUCUAGGUGUGACUGUCCCUUAGGCCUCCGCUCCAGUCAACAAGGACAGUUUCAUAACUUUGUAGUUGGGGUCUUCGGUCUACCACUUUGAGAGACCAGAACCCAGGCAGGGGUGACACUCCCUCAAAGGUAGUGCUCACCAUUGGUGUCGUAGUGCCCCAGGGGGGCAGCUGGUGUGAUCUGUGUCAAAGCAGCAUUGGACUCCUCAGAAGUCAGAGCUCAAGCAGGACAUCUCGGCUUGGCUCCUCCCCCAGGGAAGGAAGGUCACAUGGCAAGGAGACCUUGGAAGGUCACAUGGCAAGGAGAAGCCAUCAGAGGGAAUAGAUGGGGAGCUUUGGGCACAUGAAGAAUGGGAUGGGGGUGAGAGUGUCUGAGACUCUCAAGGAGAAAGCCAGCUAGCUAGGAUAGUGGAGUGGACAUUGUAAGAAAACCUGUAUGAACUCAUAAUAACAAAAUACUCUGCCAGGAGGUGAGCUCCUGGCUAUGGUGGAGAUACUGAGGUCAGCCCGCUGGUUAUUGCAGCAGGAUCUAGAUGGCCAUGAAGGCUGGUGUAGGAUGGGUUUUGCCAGGGCAGGACCUCUUAGGAUUCGCUUCACUCAGACAUCAGAACUCUGUUUAAACCUGAAUUAGCCAGCUUGGCUUAGCAGUUGAGGUGUAUGCCCUUGAUCAAAGCAGGCUGGUUUCCCGGCUCUGGGAUCGUGACCUUGUUGCCUCUAUAAAGUACGGUAGUAAUAAUCAUCUCACCUGGCUUAUUGGCAGAGUCUACCAGGUGGCAAGUGCAGAGCAGGAUGCCUGGCAGAUGCUAGUGAAUGUGCAGGUCACACAGGUACAAGCCCUUUUAAACAAGAAUUCAAGCUAAUACUGAAGGUUUUUUUUGUUUUGUUUUGUUUUGUUUUUUAAUACUUUAUUUAUUCAUGAGAGACACAGAGAGAGAGAGGCAGACACAUAGGCUGAGGGAGAAGCAGGCUCCAUGCAGGAAGCCCGACGUGAGACUCUAUUCUGGGACCCUGGGAUCACGCCCAGAGCCAAAGGUAGAUGCUCAGUUGCUGAGCCACUCAGGUGUCCCAAGACACUGAAGUCCUUGAGCACUGUGCUCUCUGCCCUCCCAGCAGAGACUUGAUAAGAAAAUCCCCCCAACUUCUGAAGUGUAGAGUUCUGAUAUCUGAGCCUAGUGUCAGGAAACCAGCCUGCACUGUUCCAUUCCUGGCCUCAAGUUUUGGCCUAUGUCGCCAGGGGCAGGGAAGAGUGUGAGUCUGUUAGAAGAGCAUAAGUAGGAGAGGCAGAUGGUGCUCCCCCCACUCCCCUUGCAGAGUGCUGGUCACCUCUCCUCCAACAGGCCUAGGCCUACCAUUGCCAUCACAUUUAAAGAUUGAUUUAUUUUAGGGGCUCCUGGGUGGCUCAGUGAUUAAGCAUCUCCCUUUGGCUCAGAUUGUGAUCCUGGGGUCCCGGGGUUGAGUCCCACAUUGGGCUCCCCAUGGAGAGCCUGCUUCUCCCUCUGUCUGUGUCUGCCUCUCUUUCUUCUCAUGAAUAAAUAAAUAAAAUCCUUUUUUUAAUAAAUAAAUAUUUAUUCUAGAGAGAGCGCAAGAGCUAGGGGAGGGGCAGAGGGAGAAUCUCCAGCAUGCUCUGUGUUGAGCUCAGAGCCCAACACAGGGCUUGAUUUCAAAACCCUGAGAUCAUGACCCGAACCAAAAUCAAGAGUCAGACGCUCAACCAACUAAGCCACCCAGGGGCCCCUGCCAUCACAUUUAAAAUCCAGCUGGCUCAGGAGCGCCUGGCUGGCUCAGAAGUGGGUACAACAUGUGACUCUUAAUCUCAGGGUCCUGAGUUCAAUCCCCAUGUUGGGUAUGGAGCCUACUUUUUAAAAAUAAUAAUAAAGUAAAAUAACACAACACCACACCGGUUCUCCCAGCCUGCUUGCUCAGCUCUGCCCUCCUACCGUCUGUUGCUUCCUGUUGUGCUAAGAGUCCGUAUCAUGGACAAAUGUUUUUUUUGUUUGUUUUGUUUAAAUAUUUUAUUUAUUCAUGAGAGACACAGAGAGAGAGAGAGGGGGCAGAGACACAGGCAGAGGGAGGAGAAGCAGGCUCCCUGCAGGGAGCCCGACGCAGGACUCAAUCCUGGGUCUCCAGGAUCAGGCGCUGGGUUGAAGGCGGCACUAAACCGCUGAGCCACCCGGGCUGCCUGACAAAUAUUUUUUAUCUCUGUAUCUACCCUCCCAUUUAGUACAAAGUAAGUAUUCAUUUAAAACAAUGCUGGUGGAAUACCUGGGUGGCUCAGUGGUUUAGCACCUGCCUUUGGCCCAGGGCGUGAUCCUGGGGUCCCGGGAUUGAGUCCCUCAUCGGGCUCCCUGCAUGCAGCCUGCUUCUCCCUCUGCCUGUGUCUGUCUGUCUGUCUGUCUGCCUCUCUCUCUCUCUCUCUCUCUUUCAUGAAUAAAUAAAUUUAAAAUAAUAAUAAUAAAAAAUAAAUAAAACAAUGCUGGUUGGGCAGCCUGGGUGGCUCAGUGGUUUAUCACUGCCUUUAGCCCAGGGCCUGGUCCUAGAGACCCGGGAUCAAGUCCCACGUCAGGAGCCUGCUUCUCCCUCUGCCUGUGUCUCUGCCUCUCUUUCUGUGUAUGUCUCAUGAAUAAAUAAA
Molecule: long non-coding RNA, 4847 nt
Filed under: Canis lupus familiaris (dog)
Lineage: Eukaryota; Metazoa; Chordata; Mammalia; Carnivora; Canidae
Description: lncRNA (ENSCAFG00845018900.1)
Source: RNAcentral